This 839-nucleotide ribosomal RNA is filed under the name Bacillus licheniformis. RNAcentral's name for it is "bacterial SSU rRNA". It matches the Rfam family "Bacterial small subunit ribosomal RNA", at positions 85 to 907 of the family's 1533-position model. Lineage: Bacteria; Bacillati; Bacillota; Bacilli; Caryophanales; Bacillaceae. The record is from RNAcentral.
CGUGAUGUUUAAGGCGGACGGGUGAGUAACACGUGGGUAACCUGCCUGUAAGACUGGGAUAACUCCGGGAAACCGGGGCUAAUACCGGAUGGUUGUUUGAACCGCAUGGUUCAGACAUAAAAGGUGGCUUCGGCUACCACUUACAGAUGGACCCGCGGCGCAUUAGCUAGUUGGUGAGGUAACGGCUCACCAAGGCAACGAUGCGUAGCCGACCUGAGAGGGUGAUCGGCCACACUGGGACUGAGACACGGCCCAGACUCCUACGGGAGGCAGCAGUAGGGAAUCUUCCGCAAUGGACGAAAGUCUGACGGAGCAACGCCGCGUGAGUGAUGAAGGUUUUCGGAUCGUAAAGCUCUGUUGUUAGGGAAGAACAAGUGCCGUUCAAAUAGGGCGGCACCUUGACGGUACCUAACCAGAAAGCCACGGCUAACUACGUGCCAGCAGCCGCGGUAAUACGUAGGUGGCAAGCGUUGUCCGGAAUUAUUGGGCGUAAAGGGCUCGCAGGCGGUUUCUUAAGUCUGAUGUGAAAGCCCCCGGCUCAACCGGGGAGGGUCAUUGGAAACUGGGGAACUUGAGUGCAGAAGAGGAGAGUGGAAUUCCACGUGUAGCGGUGAAAUGCGUAGAGAUGUGGAGGAACACCAGUGGCGAAGGCGACUCUCUGGUCUGUAACUGACGCUGAGGAGCGAAAGCGUGGGGAGCGAACAGGAUUAGAUACCCUGGUAGUCCACGCCGUAAACGAUGAGUGCUAACUGUUAGGGGGUUUCCGCCCCUUAGUGCUGCAUCUAACGCAUUAAGCACUCCGCCUCGGGGAGUACGGUCGCAAGACUGAAACUCAAAGG